Papaver somniferum (opium poppy) is the source of this 1564-nucleotide long non-coding RNA. RefSeq lists it as uncharacterized. The transcript has 4 exons. The record is from RefSeq and is a predicted model, not a curated record. Lineage: Eukaryota; Viridiplantae; Streptophyta; Magnoliopsida; Ranunculales; Papaveraceae.
UUUAAUAAUCCAUUUUUGGGAACCCGUUUAAUGUAUGUGCAGAUCCCAGUUUAUUAUGUAUUUGCAAUAAUGAUUACAGUUUGCCUUUAGGAUUAAAAUGGAAGGACUUGGCUAGACACACCGAGCAUAUCAACUGAGAAUGCUCCCGAAGAGAGAUCUAAUGGUCCCCUGCAGCGUUCAUAACAUUGAAAUUUGUGCAUAUAAGGAUGGGGUCUAUUCUUCUUCGUUUAUAAUUUGAUUGAUAUGUUUCAUUUUAUUUUGAAGAUACCGGUUUGAAAUCAUCGAAAAGGAAACUAUUAGCGAAAGAGAAAAAUAAUUUUAGGGUUUUCACAUAACCUAACUGAAACCCUAAUCUCCAUUACAGAUUUUUAUAUUGAGGCGAUUUCUGUUGGACCAAACAAUCCUAAUAAUUGGACAAGUUCUCUGGAGUUUUUAGUACAUGAAGCUAGGAUAAUUUUAAUUAAUUGGUAUAGUUUUUUUCGGCUCAAUCAUAUGCGUAUCCUCCUAAAUUUGUUUUUUUUUUUAUGAACUUGCAGCCUAAUUUUUAUCUGCCUGGUCCGGGCUAAAUCAAUUACCCUGGUCAUGAUCUUCCGCAAGUUAUCCGAUUGAAUUUGAACUGCGUGUUUGUCUGGAAAUCGGGUCUGUGGUUGAGAAUUUCAGAAUCCAUAUACAGAUUUCGGCAGAAUGGUGUAAUGAUGGUACUGCAUGCAUUUACUUAUUACUUGGGUUCUAAUUCUUUUGUAGUCUGGUGUAAGGAGACAGAACUUGGAAGGAUAAACAACUUAAAGUCACAAGUCAAAGACUCAAAAGCCAUUAGAGCUUGGUACAGAGUUUAGCAAAGAGAAUGUUCUGCGAAGAAAAUGUAGGAAAUAUUUGCUGAAGAGUGGAACCAAAUAUUCUGAUUGUGCAAGGAUUUCCUGGAAAACAGACGACAAGAGGUAUGCUCUAAAAACUAUUGAACACAACACUCAAACCAGUGUAUUUAAUUUAAAAUUCAAAUUUAAACCGAAUUCAUAGGCUUUUUAAUAAUGAUUUUAAUUGCAUGAUCUUGAUGCAGUUUAAUUUUUACAAUAUUAACACUGUGUGAUGCUGUUAGGUAUGUUACAGUUGAUUGACUGAUGAGACUAAGACCAUGAGCAAAUCUUUUAGAAUGCUACCCAGGAACACGACCGAGGCCUAGCUGGAUUUUUUCUACCUUUUUUUAUAUACCAUGGUUUAUCUUUUUGUUCUAAUGUAGCCAUUGAGAACAAGCUUCUUGAGUUGCAGCUGGUAUUUUUUUGCUUUCCCCAUUCAAUCAAGCAAUGGAACAAUGACAACUAUGAUGUACUCUUCAAUUUCUGAAGGUUGGGUAUUCAUUAUGAACAUGAUAGUGUUGGUAGAGAGUCACGUGAACACUAGACACCAGUAAAGAUGAGCUUGUGGCAUCGAAUGUACAAAAAACACUACAACAGAUCUUUGUUCUUAUAUACUUCUCAUACAGAGUAUCAAGUGAUGUGGACUAUGGAUCACUAAGCGGGUUGACAAGUCUUAUUUUAUUUCAUAAAGCGUGUAAAAUAAUAUUUUC